AGACUACUCCAUAAACUGAGCUAAGCAGCGUGGGGCUUGAGAGGCUGAGUCCGACUUUGAAAGAAGUUCUAAUGUGGGGAAAACGCAAUCAGCAUUGCAUGCUACAGAGAAAUCGUGCAUGACAGGAAGAGUUAAUCGAUUUGGUAGCCUUCGUCGUGGUCUUAUUUUAAGAAAUUGCCACAGCCAGCCCAGCCUUCAGCAGCCCCCACCCUGAUCCAUCAGCAGCAUCAAUGUGCAGGCAGGACCCUCCACCAGCAAAAAGACUGUGACUCACUAAAGCCUCAGAUGAUUGUUCAACCUCUUUAGCAAGAAAAUAUUUUUUAAAAUUAAGGGUUUUACAUGCGCACAUAUGGUCCUCCUAGUUAAUUUGAAAACUGACUCUGGCUGCAGCCGGGACAACGUGGGAUCCUCAACCUGUUGCGCCACUGCGAGAAGACUGGGGAGUAAUUCUAACUCCCGUGACUUCGUCGUGCCUCGAAGUAGAAGUCUAGACAUCUGGAUUUGGACAUCUGGAUUCAUCCCUUGCUGUAUCCUCUAGGUUCUUUAAGGACACCGUCAAAGAUGGUGACCGACGCAGACCCUUGUAAAACGUCACAAGACUGGCAUACUUGUAGGUGAUAAGGACGGAGAAAUAAAACAUAGGAUCUCAGCCCGGCCUUACAGGUGCUGCCCAAAGUCACAACAUCUGGAGCGCAGCCUGGAGCUGAGACGCGGGGGCUCUGCCGUGAGCCUGCUCGGCCCGGCCCCGAGGCUGGGCGCUCUCAUCCGGACCUGCUUUGGUGCAGGAGAGCAGGAUGGCAGCGGCCGGGAGGUUUCGCAUCCAGACUGAGCCAGGGUGAAGGCCUCCGAGCAGCGGCAGUUUCUCCUUCCAGGGGGACCUUCAGCCCCUCCGUCCGCUUUCGGCAGGUGGUGUGUGCAUGGGGAGCACACGUCCCGAGGGCUUGGCUCCGGCUCUGCCAUUGACCGUCCCGUGACCCUGGGCUCUAACUUCUUGCUGAGCCUCCGUUUUCUCUCGGGCAAAAUGCAGGUGCUAAUCAUCCCCACUUCAUGGAUUGCUGGGAUCACAUCUCUGUUGUGGAAAACUUUAGGGUAAACUAAAGUGAGCUAGAGGCAGAACAUCGGGUCUGGGCCGUGUGUCUGCCGAUUGGCUAGUUUAACCUUGAGAAAAACCUCUGCCACUGCCUGCCCGUCUGUUUCCGGUCUCCAAGCCCAGAUCUUUCUCUUCGCAGGCCCCAGACACGCCCCUGGUACAUGGAGAUAUCUCAUACUGGCAAUAAUAUAACAUUUCUUUUAUUUGAUGAUGUUAUUGAAUAAUUUUUUAUUUUUAAUCUAAGCAAACACUUAAGUUUAAAAAAACUAGUAACUAUGAAUCUUAACAUAGAAAUGUUAGCCCCUGCCUGUCUUCCACCCAGUGCCGAUCCACCACUUCCACUGCUUUUAACUGGUUUAUCUGGAAAUAGCUCUACAUGUCUAAACAGCAUCCUUACUCUACAAGUCUUGAUGAUUUUUAAGUUUUAAUUGUUACCUGUUGACUUCCUAGCAUGGGAAGAAAGGAUUUAACCCUCCCCUCCCGUCAGUCACGGACACAGACACACCCCUCCGCACCCCCCACCCUCCUCUUCCAUCCGUUCUGUAUGCGGAUCGUACGUUUUGGUGGGAUAUUCGGAUGUCACACUGGGUUCACAGUUAAGUCAGAUAACAUGUGUGAUGACACGCAGCUGCACGUCUUUGCGUACACAAAUUGUUUCCCUGAAGGUAAUAAUUGCAUUGCUUUCCUGUUUGCUGAGUGUUCUCCUGGUAUCACUCGUUCGGCCCAGAAUCUUUAUAAAAGUGUCGCAUGUCCUUUCACUGCACCCGCACACGUGUGCCAUCUCUCAGCCCCUGGAGCCCAUGUCUCUGGGGGUCCCACCUCCUUGGUUCCGCGCUGGGCUGGCCGCUCUCGAGACCCACCGCGUCACCGCAUCCCCGGGCUCCCGGGCCUGGGCUCCGUUCCCGUCCUCCUGGGGAACGCGGCCCCCCCCUCGCUCUGCUGUGGCUUCUCUGCCUCCUGGAUCCCGUGGCUUCUUCCUGCUUGUUUUCCUCCUUCGCUUUGUAGAAGCACGUUGUCCAGUAAUGUCUCCAAAAGAGGAAGGAUGGCUUUUGUUUCUGGAGGGUGCACACCUGAAACGGUCUUUAUUCCACGCUUCCAUGUGGUUGAUUAUUUGAUUGGACACAGAAUUACCAAUACAGCUCAGAAACAUUUUUUCUCCCGAUUUUAAACCAUUAUGCCAUUGCUGUUAUUGUCAGGUGUGCUUCGGAUUUUCAGUACUUUCUAGGCGAACUGUUUUUUGUUUUAUUUUUUUUUUAUCACUGUUAACUUUAAACGUGUUCUCUCUAACUCUAGUGUCUUGAAACUUCACAGACAGAUAUUUUGAUGUAGGUCUUUUUCCUUUACUGUUCUACAUUGCCAGGGGACCCUUUCAAACUGGAAACUUAUCUUUCUCUUUUUACAUAGUUAAAAUAAUUCUGUUCAAAUAAUAUUUUCUAAUA
This 2529-nucleotide long non-coding RNA is filed under the name Sus scrofa (pig). RNAcentral's name for it is "lncRNA (ENSSSCG00025004303.1)". The record is from RNAcentral. Lineage: Eukaryota; Metazoa; Chordata; Mammalia; Artiodactyla; Suidae.